AUGAGGGGGUUGGGGCGUUGGUCCUCCGCGACAACAUCCAGCCUUCUCCCCGUCGCAGUCGCGUGGUCCUCGACGACGACUCCCUUGCGCUCCUCCUCCUCCGCAUCGACAGGACUCUCUCUAGCCUCUCGCUCCACCUCCUCGCACACUCCUGCAGAUUAUCUUGGCAAUCAAGCCAACAAAUCAAAAGGAGACAAAGGAAAAUGUGUGACCAAAGGAGUCAAGCAAAAGCACACCAAGCAAAUCACCACCAUUGAAGUUUCAACAUCUAUUUUUCGUAGUUGGACUAAACCCGAUUAG
This 300-nucleotide ribosomal RNA is filed under the name Triticum aestivum (bread wheat). RNAcentral's name for it is "partial small subunit ribosomal RNA". Lineage: Eukaryota; Viridiplantae; Streptophyta; Magnoliopsida; Poales; Poaceae. The record is from RNAcentral.